AACGCUGGCGGCAGGCCUAACACAUGCAAGUCGAGCGGUAACAGGUCCAGCUUGCUGGACGCUGACGAGCGGCGGACGGGUGAGUAACGCAUAGGAAUCUACCCAGUCGUGGGGGAUAACCUGAGGAAACUCAGGCUAAUACCGCAUACGUCCUACGGGAGAAAGCGGGGGCUCUUCGGACCUCGCGCGAUUGGAUGAGCCUAUGUCGGAUUAGCUAGUUGGUAAGGUAAUGGCUUACCAAGGCAACGAUCCGUAGCUGGUCUGAGAGGAUGAUCAGCCACACCGGGACUGAGACACGGCCCGGACUCCUACGGGAGGCAGCAGUGGGGAAUAUUGGACAAUGGGCGAAAGCCUGAUCCAGCCAUGCCGCGUGUGUGAAGAAGGCUUUCGGGUUGUAAAGCACUUUCAGCGAGGAAGAAAGCGUGCCGUUUAAUACACGGUACGGACGACAUCACUCGCAGAAGAAGCACCGGCUAACUCCGUGCCAGCAGCCGCGGUAAUACGGAGGGUGCAAGCGUUAAUCGGAAUUACUGGGCGUAAAGCGCGCGUAGGCGGCGUGUCACGCCGGGUGUGAAAGCCCCGGGCUCAACCUGGGAACGG
Molecule: ribosomal RNA, 600 nt
Filed under: Chromohalobacter sp. Y30
Lineage: Bacteria; Pseudomonadati; Pseudomonadota; Gammaproteobacteria; Oceanospirillales; Halomonadaceae
Description: bacterial SSU rRNA
Rfam family: Bacterial small subunit ribosomal RNA
Source: RNAcentral